Molecule: long non-coding RNA, 381 nt
Organism: Bos taurus (domestic cattle)
Lineage: Eukaryota; Metazoa; Chordata; Mammalia; Artiodactyla; Bovidae
Source: Ensembl
GCUGGGGCCAAUGGAGGCAGGAGCCACGGGCUUGGUGAGGAGUUUAAACCCAGAGAGGUACUUUCUCCUGAAACUAGAUUCACCCACUGCUUGUAUUUUCACAGACCUAAUUAUGGGCUUGCCACCCGGAUAACCCCAGUCCACGCAUGGCCUCCUCUGAAGCUCCCUACCACCUGGCCAGGUCUCUGCUAUGUUGAGCUCCAUCUCUCAGCAACCCACGUUGGGCACAGUCCUCUGUGUCUUAUGCAUUAACAAAUGUAACAUUCCUGACCAACAACCUUAUGAGGCAGACCGUUUUGUUACCAAUGCUGUCUUACGGAUGAAAGAUGGGAAGCACAGAGAGGCUUCUCUCUGGGGCCAACCUCCUCCUUGGUCUGCUGA